RNAcentral lists this ribosomal RNA (731 nucleotides) under uncultured eukaryote. RNAcentral's name for it is "SSU rRNA". It matches the Rfam family "Eukaryotic small subunit ribosomal RNA", at positions 671 to 1426 of the family's 1831-position model. The record is from RNAcentral.
GGUGUGUACUGGUCUUGAUGGAAGCUUACCUCUUGGUGGGUCGGCAUGCCCUUCGUUGGGUGUGUCGAUUAACCAGGACUUUUACUUUGAGAAAAUUAGAGUGUUCAAAGCAGGCUUUCGCCCGAAUACAUUAGCAUGGAAUAAUAGAAUAGGACGCGCGUCUUUAUUUUGUUGGUUUCUAAAUUCGCCGUAAUGAUUAAUAGGGAUAGUCGGGGGCAUUCGUAUUGCUUGGUCAGAGGUGAAAUUCUUGGAUUCUAGCAAGACGAACUACUGCGAAAGCAUUUGCCAAGGAUGUUUUCAUUGAUCAAGAACGAAGGUUAGGGGAUCGAAAACGAUCAGAUACCGUUGUAGUCUUAACAGUAAACUAUGCCGACUAGGGAUCGGACAAGCACAAUCUAUGACUUGUUCAGCACCUGAAGAGAAAUCUUUAAGUCUAGGUUCGGGGGGGAGUAUGGUCGCAAGGCUGAAACUUAAAGGAAUUGACGGAAGGGCACCACCAGGUGUGGAGCCUGCGGCUUAAUUUGACUCAACACGGGGAAACUCACCAGGUCCAGACACAAUAAGGAUUGACAGAUUGAUAGCUCUUUCUUGAUCUUGUGGUUGGUGGUGCAUGGCCGUUCUUAGUUGGUGGAGUGAUUUGUCUGGUUAAUUCCGAUAACGAACGAGACCUUAACCUGCUAAAUAGACCCGGGGCCUUAGGGAACCGGCUGUCUUCUUAGAGGGACUGUAGG